GGAGGAAAACAAUAAUAAUAAUACUAUUAUUGCGUGACAUUACUUAUAGAAAAAGCACCGGCUAACUCCGUGCCAGCAGCCGCGGUAAUACGGAGGGUGCUAGCGUUAAUCGGAAUUACUGGGCGUAAAGAGUACGUAGGCGGUUUUCUAAGUCAGAUGUGAAAGCCCUAGGCUUAACCUAGGAAUUGCAUUUGAAACUGGUAAGCUAGAGUCUCACAGAGGGGGGUAGAAUUCCAGGUGUAGCGGUGAAAUGCGUAGAUAUCUGGAGGAAUACCAGUGGCGAAGGCGGCCCCCUGGGUGAAGACUGACGCUGAGGUACGAAAGCGUGGGGAGCGAACAGGAUUAGAUACCCUGGUAGUCCAGGCUGUAAACGAUGUCGAUUUGAAGGUUGUGGUCUAUGAAUUAUGGCUUUCGGAGCUAACGUGUUAAAUCGACCGCCUGGGGAGUACGGCCGCAAGGUUAAAACUCAAAUGAAUUGACGGGGGCCCGCACAAGCGGUGGAGCAUGUGGUUUAAUUCGAUGCAACGCGAAGAACCUUACCUACCCUUGACAUCCAAAGAACUGUAUAGAGAUAUUACAGGUGCCUUCGGGAACUUUGAGACAGGUGCUGCAUGGCUGUCGUCAGCUCGUGUUGUGAAAUGUUGGGUUAAGUCCCGCAACGAGCGCAACCCUUAUCCUUUGUUGCCAGCGAAUUAUGUCGGGGACUCAAAGGAGACUGCCGGUGAUAAACCGGAGG
Molecule: ribosomal RNA, 736 nt
Filed under: Blochmannia endosymbiont of Polyrhachis decumbens
Lineage: Bacteria; Pseudomonadati; Pseudomonadota; Gammaproteobacteria; Enterobacterales; Enterobacteriaceae
Description: bacterial SSU rRNA
Rfam family: Bacterial small subunit ribosomal RNA
Source: RNAcentral